CCUACGGGCGGCAGCAGUGGGGAAUAUUGCACAAUGGGCGAAAGCCUGAUGCAGCAACGCCGCGUGAGCGAUGAAGGCCUUCGGGGCGUAAAGCUCUGUCCUCAAGGAAGAUAAUGACGGUACUUGAGUAGGAAGCCCCGGCUAACUACGUGCCAGCAGCGGCGGUAAUACGUAGGGGGCUAGGGUUAUCCGGCAUUACUGGGGGUAAAGGGUGCGUAGGUGGUUUUUUAAGCCAGAGGUGAAAGGCUGCGGCUCAACCGUAGUAAGCCUUUGAAACUGUGACGCUUGAGUGCAGGAGAGGAGAGUGGAAUUCCUAGUGUAGCGGUGAAAUGCGUAGAUAUUAGGAGGAACACCAGUGGCGAAGGCGGCUCUCUGGACUGUAACUGACACUGAGGCACGAAAGCGUGGGGAGCAAACAGGAUUAGAUACCCUGGUAGUC
RNAcentral lists this ribosomal RNA (439 nucleotides) under uncultured bacterium. RNAcentral describes it as "partial 16S ribosomal RNA". It matches the Rfam family "Bacterial small subunit ribosomal RNA", at positions 338 to 795 of the family's 1533-position model. The record is from RNAcentral.